GAAUGGAGCAAAUGUCCUACUGAGCUCUUCAUAAACAAGGGUUUGAAGACUAUCGUUCAAAAUCAUCAAAUACUCAAGCUGAGCAGCCGCACUGUGAGACAUGUACCAUGCCUGUGCCACGUGGACAGUAGACUGGGGGGACAAUAUCAAUCAAACUACGUCGUACGUCACCGUCGAAAUGCCCGAAGAAAAGACCUGCAAGUGAACAGAUGGAUUAGUUCUUUCAGUCCGGUAGCUGUAUUACGAUGGUCCUUGCUUACCAACAAAGAGUAUGGAUGAUUCUUCUGCAAUUCCAACAAGAUGAUCAUAGACUGUACAAUAUAAUAAAAUUACAUAGAUGUU
Molecule: long non-coding RNA, 342 nt
Organism: Exaiptasia diaphana
Lineage: Eukaryota; Metazoa; Cnidaria; Anthozoa; Actiniaria; Aiptasiidae
Exons: 2
Source: RefSeq, a predicted model, not a curated record